Molecule: non-coding RNA, 113 nt
Organism: Acanthosepion pharaonis
Lineage: Eukaryota; Metazoa; Mollusca; Cephalopoda; Sepiida; Sepiidae
Source: the annotation of a GenBank genome assembly
UACAGCCAUAUUAUGUUGAAACACUGGUUCUCACACAAUCACUGAUGUUAAGCAAUAUCGAGCUUGGUCAGUACCUUGAUGGGUGACCACUUGGGAAUACCAGGUGCUGUAAG